RNAcentral lists this ribosomal RNA (409 nucleotides) under Fusobacteriota bacterium. Its description in RNAcentral is "Fusobacteria bacterium partial 16S ribosomal RNA". It matches the Rfam family "Bacterial small subunit ribosomal RNA", at positions 355 to 776 of the family's 1533-position model. The record is from RNAcentral. Lineage: Bacteria; Fusobacteriati; Fusobacteriota.
UGGGGAAUAUUGCACAAUGGAGGGAACUCUGAUGCAGCAACGCCGCGUGCGGGAUGACGGCCUUCGGGUUGUAAACCGCUUUCAGCCAUGACGAAGCUUUUGUGACGGUAGUGGUAGAAGAAGCACCGGCUAACUACGUGCCAGCAGCCGCGGUGAUACGUAGGGUGCGAGCGUUGUCCGGAAUUAUUGGGCGUAAAGAGCUUGUAGGCGGUUUGUCGCGUCGAUAGUGUAAACACGCAGCUUAACUGUGUGCCUGCUGUCGAUACGGGCUGACUAGAGAAGGGUAGGGGAGAAUGGAAUUCCCGGUGGAGCGGUGGAAUGCGCAGAUAUCGGGAGGAACACCAGUGGCGAAGGCGGUUCUCUGGACCUUUCCUGACGCUGAGAAGCGAAAGCGUGGGUAGCAAACAGG